AGCGAACGCUGGCGGCAGGCUUAACACAUGCAAGUCGAGCGGGCACUUUCGGGUGUCCGCGGCGGACGGGUGAGUAACGCGUGGGAACGUGCCCUCUGGUUCGGAAUAACUCAGGGAAACUUGAGCUAAUACCGGAUACGCCCUUUUGGGGAAAGGCUUGCUGCCGGAGGAUCGGCCCGCGUCUGAUUAGCUUGUUGGUGAGGUAACGGCUCACCAAGGCGACGAUCAGUAGCUGGUCUGAGAGGAUGAUCAGCCACACUGGGACUGAGACACGGCCCAGACUCCUACGGGAGGCAGCAGUGGGGAAUAUUGGACAAUGGGCGCAAGCCUGAUCCAGCCAUGCCGCGUGAGUGAUGAAGGCCUUAGGGUUGUAAAGCUCUUUUAUCCGGGACGAUAAUGACGGUACCGGAGGAAUAAGCCCCGGCUAACUUCGUG
This 435-nucleotide ribosomal RNA is filed under the name uncultured bacterium. RNAcentral describes it as "partial 16S ribosomal RNA". It matches the Rfam family "Bacterial small subunit ribosomal RNA", at positions 29 to 507 of the family's 1533-position model. The record is from RNAcentral.